Molecule: ribosomal RNA, 292 nt
Filed under: uncultured bacterium
Lineage: Bacteria
Description: partial 16S ribosomal RNA
Rfam family: Bacterial small subunit ribosomal RNA
Source: RNAcentral
GUGUCAGCAGCCGCGGUAAUACGUAGGUGGCAAGCGUUAUCCGGAAUUAUUGGGCGUAAAGCGCACGCAGGUGGCGGCUUAAGGCUGACGUGAAAGCGCCUGGCUUAACUGGGCGAGGUCGUUGGCAACUGGGUCGCUUGAGGCGAGGAGAGGGGCGUAGAAUUCCCGGUGUAGUGGUGGAAUGCGUAGAUAUCGGGGGGAAUACCAGAGGCGCAAGCGGCGCCCUGGCCUGUGCCUGACACUCAUGUGCGAAAGCGUGGGGAGCGAACGGGAUUAGAUACCCCUGUAGUCC